This 223-nucleotide ribosomal RNA is filed under the name uncultured bacterium. Its description in RNAcentral is "partial 16S ribosomal RNA". It matches the Rfam family "Bacterial small subunit ribosomal RNA", at positions 111 to 334 of the family's 1533-position model. The record is from RNAcentral.
UAACGCGUGAGUAACCUGCCUCUAAGAGGGGAAUAACAUUCUGAAAAGAAUGCUAAUACCGCAUAACAUAUAUUUAUCGCAUGGUAGAUAUAUCAAAGAUUUAUCGCUUAGAGAUGGACUCGCGUCCGAUUAGUUAGUUGGUGAGGUAACGGCUCACCAAGACUGCGAUCGGUAGCCGGACUGAGAGGUUGAACGGCCACAUUGGGACUGAGGCACGGCCCAG